GAUCCAUUGUGCGGACAUUUUUUAAUCAACAUUUUGAAGUGUUUCUACACCUCAUAGAAGCUUUCUCCUUCCAUCUAUCUAAAGACAAUAAUCUCUCUCCUUAAUUAGACU
This is a non-coding RNA of Gossypium arboreum, 111 nucleotides long. Lineage: Eukaryota; Viridiplantae; Streptophyta; Magnoliopsida; Malvales; Malvaceae. The record is from Rfam.